AGCAGCACCCUGAGGGGUGUCCUGGAGUCUUAAGGGCUUACUGGGAGCACUGGGAGUUACUGGACGGGGUCUGGGCCUUAGUGGCUAUUGCUACUGAUCCAUACUGGUUUAUACUGGUCCUUACUGGUUUGUACUGGUGCGUACUGGCAGGCGCUGUGCAGCACCAUGACAGGCACCCUGGUUCUUUGAAGGGUUACUGGGAGCACUGGGAGUUACUGGGCGGGAUCUGAGCCUUAGUGGCUAUUGCUACUGGUCCAUACUGGUUUAUACUGGUCCUUACUGGUUUAUACUGGUGCGUACUGGCAGGCACUGUGCAGCACCAUGACAGGCACCCUGGUGCUUUGAAGGGUUACUGGGAGCACUGGGAGUUACUGGGCGGGAUCUGGGCCUUUGUAGCUAUCAAUACCGGACAAUACGGGUCCAUACUGGUUUAUACUGGUUUAUACUGGUUCUUACUGGUUCGUACUGGUCCGUACUGGCAGGCACUCUGCAGCACCCUGAGGGGUGUUCUGGGGGUCUUGAGGGCUUACUGGGAGCACUGGGAGUUACUGUGUGGGAUCUGGGCCUUUGUAGCUAUCAAUACCGGACAAUACAGGUCCAUACUGGUUUAUACUGGUUUAUACUGGUUUAUACUGGUCCUUACUGGUUUGUACUGGCAGGCGCUGUGCAGCACCAUGACAGGCAUCUUGGUGCUUUGAAGGGUUACUGGGAACACUGGGAGCUACUGGGUGGGAUCUGAGCCUUAGUGGCUAUUGCUACUGGUCCAUACUGGUUUAUACUGGUUUAUACUGGUCCUUACUGGUCCUUACUGGUCUGUACUGGCAGGCGCUGUGCAGCACGGUGACCGGGACGCUCUCCACCCGCGCCGUGCUGCAGACCGUGGGGGUCGGGGACAGCGCGGCCACCGCCACCGGGGCCACCCUCACCUGGGUGCUGCGCGAUGGGGUGGGGAUGGUGACGCGCAUCGUCUUCGCCUGGCUCCAGGGGUGAGCACUGGGGGCACUGGGAGGGACUGGGAGCACUGGGAGGGACUGGGAGGGGUCAUUGGGGUUACUGGGAGGGACUGGGAGGGGUCACUGAGGGGACUGGGAGGGACUGGGAGCACUGGGAGGGACUGGGAGGGGUCACUGGGGUUACUGGGAGGGACUGGGAGGGGUUAUUGGGGUUACUGGAAGUUACUGGGAGCACUGGGAGGGAUUAUUGGGAUUACUGGGAGCACUGGGAGUUACUGGGAGGGUUCACUUGGGUUACUGGGAUGUACUGGGAGAGGCUACUGGGAGCACUGGGAGGGGCUACUGGUUGUUACUGGUUAUCACUGGGGCCCUUCUUGGUCCAUACCAGUCCAUACUGGUCCAUACUGGUUUAUAUUGGUCUAUAUUGGUUAUAGGGGGUCUGUACUGGUCUAUACUGGUUUAUACUGGUCCAUGCUGGUCUGUAUUGGGCCAUACUGGUUUAUGCUGGUCCGUAUUGUUUGGUACCGGUCCAUACUGGUUGGCACUGAUCUGUACUGGUCCAUACUGGUUUAUACUGGUCCAUACUGAUAGGUACUGGUUCAUACUGGUUGGUACUGGUCUGUAUGGGUCCAUACUGGUCUAUACUGGCCUGGUUUGUACGGGUCCAUACUGGUUUAUGCUGGUUUAUACUGGGCCAUACUGGUUUAUGGUGGUCCAUACUGGUUUAUACUGGGCCACACUGGUUUAUACUAGGUGGUACCAGUCCAUACUGGUCCAUGCUGGUUUAUGCUGGGCCAUACUGGUUUAUACUGGUCUAUACUGGUUGGUACCAGUCCAUACUGGUCCAUUCUGAUCCAUAUUGGUUGGUACCAGUCCAUGCUGGUCCGUACUGGUUUAUACCGGUCCAUACUGAUUUAUACUGAUCUGUCCUGGUCCAUACUGGUCCAUACUGGUUUAUAUGGGUCCAUACUGGUUGGUACCAGUCCAUACUGGUCCAUACUGGUUGGUACCAGUCCAUACUGGUUUAUACCGGUCCAUACUGCUUGAUACUGAUCUGUACUGGUCCAUACUGGUUUAUACUGGUCCAUACUGGUUGGUACUGAUUUAUACUGGUCCAUACUGGUUUAUACUGGUUUAUACUGGUCCAUACUGGUUAGUACCAGUCCAUACUGGUCCAUACUGGUUGGUACUGAUCUGUACUGGUCCAUACUGGUUUAUACUGGUCCAUACUGGUUGGUACUGAUUUGUACUGGUCCAUACUGGUUUAUACUGGUUUAUACUGGUCCAUACUGGUUAGUACCAGUCCAUACUGGUCCAUACUGGUUGGUACUGAUCUGUACUGGUCCAUACUGGUUUACACUGGUCCAUACUGGUUGGUACUGAUCUAUACUGGUCCAUACUGGUUUAUACUGGUCUGUACUGUU
This 2377-nucleotide long non-coding RNA is filed under the name Anas platyrhynchos platyrhynchos (common mallard). Its description in RNAcentral is "lncRNA (ENSAPLG00000021213.1)". The record is from RNAcentral. Lineage: Eukaryota; Metazoa; Chordata; Aves; Anseriformes; Anatidae.